CACAACUACAUCAUAUAAAGAUAUUUGCACAUACAUAAUUGUAACUGCACAUUAUAUAAUGAUAUGUACACAUGAUAUAAGUAUAUUUGCACAUGAUAUAAGUAUAUUUGAACAUCAUAUAAGGAUAUUUGCACAUAAUAUAAAUACAUUUGCACAUCAUAUAAGAAUGUUUUGCACAUCAUAUAAGUACAUUCGCACAUCAUAUAAGUUCAUUUGUACAUCAUAUAAAUACAUUUGCACAUCAUAUAAAUAUAUAAGCACAUCAUAUAAGUAUAUUUGCACAUCAUAUAAGUAUGUUUGCACAUCAUAUAAUGAUGUUUGUACAUCAUAUAAGGAUGUUUGCACAUCAUGUAAGGAUAUUUGCACAUCAUAUAAAGGUGUUUGCACAUCAUAUAAUGACAAUUGCACAUCAUAUAAAGGUAAAUGCACAUCAUAUACUGAAAAUGGUCAUACCAAGACAGUGUUGGCGUUCCAUAGUUAAUCGUGUAAUGUACAUUCUUAUCGUAUUAAGAAGUAUUUGUAUAUACUGGCUUCGGAUUGUUAUUCAUGAGCGUUCCUAAUAAUGUAAAAUCAAAACAGCGAAAUGGUGCAUUAAAUAAAUAAAGUUAUAAUUUCAUAUUGAAUAUAUCUAUAUUGAAAACGGUAUUAUUAAAUAAUUUCCAGUGUAUAUCACAAAAGACGACACAAAAACAUGACAUGUUUUUAUAAUUGUACCAGGCGCUUUUCAAUAAAAAGGCUAAUUAUUGACAAAUUUCAAUUUUGUGGAUAUAGUCUUCUUUAGAUCGGACAAGGUCUUGACAUAUUGAUAUGCCAUGGUGCAGAAAUGCCUUGCAAACUGUAAGUGUGAGUGAGUGUUGUUAGAUACAAACACGUAUUACUUGCUGUACAACCAAUAAAAGAUGGUUAAUGGAUCACAGAUUUUCAAUCAACAUAGGUAAAGAAUUACGUCAGUCAUAUCAUGUCUUGUUUUAGUAGUAUAACAAAAGGAAAUGCUCAAUAUCUUAUUCAUGUACAAAUCUUUUAAAUUCUAAAUAUCUC
Molecule: long non-coding RNA, 1038 nt
Filed under: Mytilus galloprovincialis (Mediterranean mussel)
Lineage: Eukaryota; Metazoa; Mollusca; Bivalvia; Mytilida; Mytilidae
Source: RNAcentral